AUCCUUCUCCCCUUUUCAUGCAUUUAAACCAAAUCUAGUUAAUAGCACAAAUAACAUUAAAGAAAUACUAGUUCCCCUCCUCCCAGCCACCAGCCUUCACAGCAGCGAGUGUGGUCCCCGGGCCAGCAGCAUGGGCAUCACCUGAGAGCUUGUUGGAGAUGCAAAUUCCACCCUAGGCCUCAGAGGCCAGGGGUGGGGCCCAGCCAGGUGUGUUUUACGCCUGCCAGGUGAUUGUGAUGCACGGUAAAGUUUGGGAACCACAGGUUUACUAGUUACUAGUGCUCCACAUACAGUAUCCCAGCAGCAACUCAACACAACCUUAUCAGCCCUGGGCUAACAUCUGCCGCCAAUCCUCCUCUUUUUGCUGAGGAAGACUGGCCCUGAGCUAACAUGCGUGCCCAUCUUCCUCUACUUUAUAUGUGGGAGGCCCACCACAGCAUGGCUUGAUGAACGGUGCCACAUCCACACCCAGGAUCCGAACCGGCGAACCCCAGGCCACCAAAGCGGAACAUGCGCACUUAACCUCUGCGCCACUGGGACAGCCAGUCUCUUUCUAAGUGUAGCUUGCCCGGCUUCACAAUUCUGAGUCCCACUGACACACAAACAACCUGUAGAGUUGGAAGUGGUUCCCUUUAAGCAAGUUUUACCUACUUAGCAUCAAAUUUUGGCCACAAUGCAGCUUCCUCAAUAGGAGUUCACCUGGAGGGCCGGGCCCCACCCCUAGAGUUUCUGCUUGGACGGGUCUGUGCUGGGACCCUAACAUGUGCAUUUCUCACAGUUCCUACAUGCUGCUGGACCCUGGACCACACUCUGGGAAGCACUGACCUGCCCCCCAGGUACCCAUCUCAGUGCCCCACCUGAGCAGCCUCCUCAUUCCUCCCCAGCUGGCAGAGCGUUACUGUUCAGCUCUGACUCACUCGAUGAGCCACGCCACCCCAGCAGGGACACAGGAGUGAGGGCUGGCAUCAGAUCCCAGGUUCAGUGUUGCACAGCUCGCGCUCAGGUGGAAACCCUCGCAGCCUCUCAGCACGCAUGCCUUUUCUUUACACGUAAUGAACUCUCAGCCCCUGUGGUAAAGGAACCAGGUACCCCAGCUGACUGGAUGCCUCGGUUUCCCUGCAGUCCCUUCGGUUUCCUCCCCUCUCCGCAGCCAGUUGUGCGCAGCUGUCCUCGGCAGGGACUCUGGGGGACUCUGAACUGUGUUCACAUCCCUGGCUCAGCCACCUUCUAGCAAUAAGACCAAGGAUGAGUUCCUUCACCAGCACGAGCUUCAGGAUCAUCAUCAGCUAAUGGGCACAGGAACACCGGUGCAACAAUGAAAUCAAAAUGAACACAAAACCCCUUGUUGAGGGUGUGGCUCAUAAUGAGCUGCCAUAAAAGCUACUCAUUGUCAUUAUUAUUCACUGCCUAGUCUACCCCACAACCCUCAGUGUUUCUAGUCAGCAACCCCAUCUAGCCUGUUUGUUUUCCUCUGAACUAUGUACCUUCGGUUUUUCCACGCGGCCAAGUGCUUUCAUCGUUUAGCGUUUUAUUCAAGUGAU
RNAcentral lists this long non-coding RNA (1541 nucleotides) under Equus caballus (horse). Its description in RNAcentral is "lncRNA (ENSECAG00000058819.1)". Lineage: Eukaryota; Metazoa; Chordata; Mammalia; Perissodactyla; Equidae. The record is from RNAcentral.